RNAcentral lists this ribosomal RNA (253 nucleotides) under uncultured bacterium. Its description in RNAcentral is "partial 16S ribosomal RNA". It matches the Rfam family "Bacterial small subunit ribosomal RNA", at positions 524 to 776 of the family's 1533-position model. The record is from RNAcentral.
UACGUAGGGGGCAAGCGUUAUCCGGAUUUACUGGGUGUAAAGGGAGCGUAGACGGCGAUGCAAGUCUGAAGUGAAAGGCGGGGGCCCAACCCCCGGACUGCUUUGGAAACUGUAUGGCUGGAGUGCAGGAGAGGUAAGUGGAAUUCCUAGUGUAGCGGUGAAAUGCGUAGAUAUUAGGAGGAACACCAGUGGCGAAGGCGGCUUACUGGACUGUAACUGACGUUGAGGCUCGAAGGCGUGGGGAGCAAACAGG